AGUAAAAGUCGUAACAAGGUUUCCGUAGGUGAACCUGCGGAAGGAUCAUUACACUCAGUAGUUUACUACUGUAAAGGAGGCUGUUAGUCUGUAUAGCGCAAGCUGAUGAGCAGCUAGUCUCUUUUAUCCACCCUUGUCUUUUGCGUACCCACGUUUCCUCGGCAGGCUUGCCUGCCGAUUGGACAAACCUACAACCUUUUUAAUUUUCAAUCAGCGUCUGAAAAACUUAAUAAUUACAACUUUCAACAACGGAUCUCUUGGUUCUGGCAUCGAUGAAGAACGCAGCGAAAUGCGAUAAGUAGUGUGAAUUGCAGAAUUCAGUGAAUCAUCGAAUCUUUGAACGCACAUUGCGCCCCUUGGUAUUCCAUGGGGCAUGCCUGUUCGAGCGUCAUUUGUACCCUCAAGCUCUGCUUGGUGUUGGGUGUUUGUCCUCUCCCUAGUGUUUGGACUCGCCUUAAAAUAAUUGGCAGCCAGUGUUUUGGUAUUGAAGCGCAGCACAAGUCGCGAUUCUUAUCAAAUACUUGCGUCCACAAGCCCUUUUUUAACUUUUGACCUCGGAUCAGGUAGGGAUACCCGCUGAACUUAAGCAUAUCAAUAAGCGGAGGA
This 606-nucleotide ribosomal RNA is filed under the name uncultured fungus. Its description in RNAcentral is "eukaryotic LSU rRNA". The stretch from base 238 to 391 matches the Rfam family "5.8S ribosomal RNA". The record is from RNAcentral. Lineage: Eukaryota; Fungi.